GGAAAUCCCUCGGGAGUCGGGAUUCAUCUCAAUCUAGUCCAUCCCUUCCAUCCUGUGGGAUUAAAAGGGGACUUGGACUGAGGUGAAAUACAGGACCACAGGAGCUGAAUCUAAGUCUGCUGGAGGACACUCUUCCAGAGUCAACUCUCAGACAUACAGCUUUUCAUUGAUCCCUAUGCAUGGUGGAUAGGAGCUGCAAGUUGACAGAUGCCGCGAGCCGACAUUACAAGAUGACCGAUAAAGCUCGACGUCAUUCAUUCGGCACUAUUGCAGCGCGUCUGGUGUUGCGGUUGUCGGAGUAUUACGCCAGUUCUACCAUUACGUAAGUCUCAGAACCGAGAUUCUGCCUGCCGUCUGGUGGGUGUUCUGAGUGCUCAGUGGCAGGCGGCGGCACGGCUGAGGCGGGCGGCAGUCAUGGCAACAGCGAGGAAUGGGGGUGUUGCGACAUAUGAACGCGGUGGAAGGGGUUCAUAUGUUCAUUUGUGUUACGUUGGAAUGGUGCAUGGUUGGUCUAUGCCCAAAUCAUUAGAAUGCCUGAAUCAUGUUCCGCUUUCAGUGUAG
Molecule: long non-coding RNA, 561 nt
Organism: Amphibalanus amphitrite
Lineage: Eukaryota; Metazoa; Arthropoda; Thecostraca; Balanomorpha; Balanidae
Exons: 3
Source: RefSeq, a predicted model, not a curated record